Betta splendens (Siamese fighting fish) is the source of this 929-nucleotide long non-coding RNA. RefSeq lists it as uncharacterized. The record is from RefSeq and is a predicted model, not a curated record. NCBI's taxonomy places the organism in Eukaryota, Metazoa, Chordata, Actinopteri, Anabantiformes, Osphronemidae. The transcript has 2 exons.
GGCGAGCCUUGGAGCCGCGUAUCUAAUCAGACGCCUGCGUCACGGCCUCCGGCGCUGCAGCAGCUCCCUGCAGCAGUGGAGUUAGCCUCCUAAGUGGCAAUUAGCUACAAAAGGAUUAUCCCGGCCUGUUGACUAACUAUUUUUUGCACAUUUUCUGCUGAACUGUUCGCAUGUGACGCGACUCGGACGCGAGGGGGGGGCGUCGCAGGCGUGAGGGCAGGCUCACGCUGGCCCAGAAUGCCGCAGGAACCGCCUCCGUCCGCCUCCACGCGCUGCCGAGACGCUGGAGGCGCGCUGGUGGGCGGGGAACGGGCACCUGAGAGGUGGAAACCAAGGCGCAGCGCCCCUGACUGGACCUCGGUGGGUGAACUCCGGCCCGCUUGGCUGUGGACAGACAGGCCGUGGAGACAUGUCUGCGUAGGUGACUGUCACCCCCUGGAUUCUCAUUUCCUCUGGCUUUUCCAGCCUGUUUGCUGCUCCAGAAGAGGUCCUUGUUUGGGCAUGAGCCCACUACAGUCUCAUACAGAUGUCCUUGGACCUCUUAGGCUUGAACACUGCUAUAAUAAUCUCUCCCUCCCACCCCCCACCUCACAGCUAAUUCUUUCCCGUUGCUCAAUCCUGACCCAUGGUUCGGCUGCUGCUUCGAUCCCUGUUAAAACAAGACACUGGCAGAUGUGUAACUUACCGACUGAGGGGCAUUGAUGACGCCCGUGUUGUAGCCAAACUGCAGGGAGCCGAUGACCGCAGCUCCGACGCACAUCAGCAAUGGGAAGGUGAGUUGCUUCUAAAAAGAAAGAAGAUUCAUCAGUGACCAGGACCCGUUUCUAGGGACAGUGGACUGAUUUGUGCGCUAGUAUUGGUUCUGUUUGUGCUGCAUGUGGAGCUUUGUGCUUUUAAUCACUAAAAAAUAAAGAUCGACACACACCACA